UCAUGACCUAUGUGGGAUCUCUGUACCUGUUACUGUUAAGCGCAGUGCCAAGUUCUAAUAUUAUUCAUAAGAUUUUGGACAAAAGAUUGGUGCUUCCUGUGAUAGUUGUUGCAACUAUGGUUGAGCUUGUCCUGACAGAUGCUGGUUUACAUCUUCUUUUGACGUUGGCUGGUUCUUUGCCUGUCGUUUUGGUUCAUGCUGUUUUGUGG
RNAcentral lists this unclassified non-coding RNA (209 nucleotides) under Hevea brasiliensis (rubber tree). Lineage: Eukaryota; Viridiplantae; Streptophyta; Magnoliopsida; Malpighiales; Euphorbiaceae. The record is from RNAcentral.